Molecule: ribosomal RNA, 253 nt
Filed under: uncultured bacterium
Lineage: Bacteria
Description: partial 16S ribosomal RNA
Rfam family: Bacterial small subunit ribosomal RNA
Source: RNAcentral
UACAGAGGGUGCAAGCGUUGCUCGGAAUCAUUGGGCGUAAAGGGCAAGUAGGUGGUCUCAUUUGUCUUGUGUGAAAUCCUUGGGCUUAACUCAAGAAGUGCGCAAGAAACGGUGAGACUCGAGUUCUGGAGAGGGUCGUGGAAUUCCCGGUGUAGCGGUGAAAUGCGUAGGGAUCGGGAGGAACACCAGAGGCGAAGGCGGCGACCUGGACAGAUACUGACACUCAACUGCGAAAGCGUGGGGAGCAAACAGG